RNAcentral lists this ribosomal RNA (406 nucleotides) under Shinkaiya sp. RNAcentral describes it as "partial small subunit ribosomal RNA". It matches the Rfam family "Eukaryotic small subunit ribosomal RNA", at positions 587 to 975 of the family's 1831-position model. The record is from RNAcentral. Lineage: Eukaryota; Foraminifera; Syringamminidae.
AGCUCCAAUAGUGUAUAUUUAAGUUGCUGCAGUUAAAAAGCUCGUAGUUGGAUAUAUGUAGACGAUAUAGAUUAUUAAAAUAUUUUUAUUUCGAUAAUUCAUAUUGUCUUUUAUUAUAAACUACAUUACUAUAGCGUGUGUAUAGUUUUAUAUAUCUCGCUAUAAGACAUGUGUGGUUUUGUUACUGUGAGUAAAUUAAAUGUUCAAAGUAGGCGGUCGCUAUGAAUAUAUUAGCAUGGAAUAACAUUAUAGUACUUUAAUCUAUUUUUUGCUUUGGCCUGUAAAGAUUGGAGUAACGAUUAAUAGGGACAGUUGGGGGCAUUCGUAUUUCAUUGUCAGAGGUGAAAUUCUUGGAUUGAUGAAAGACGAACUACUGCGAAGGCAUUUGUCAAGGAUGUUUUCAUUA